RNAcentral lists this ribosomal RNA (560 nucleotides) under Austrovates variegata. RNAcentral describes it as "partial 16S ribosomal RNA". It matches the Rfam family "Bacterial large subunit ribosomal RNA", at positions 1796 to 2622 of the family's 2925-position model. Lineage: Eukaryota; Metazoa; Arthropoda; Insecta; Mantodea; Mantidae. The record is from RNAcentral.
UCGCCUGUUUAUCAAAAACAUGGUUUCUUGAUUUAUUAUAAGAGAUUUAACCUGCCCACUGAAGAUUUUGAAGGGCCGCAGUAUUUUGACUGUGCAAAGGUAGCAUAAUCAUUAGUCUUUUAAUUGAAGGCUGGAAUGAAUGGUUGGAUGAGGUGAAUACUGUUUUAUAUUGAUUUAUUUUGAAUUUAGAUUUUAAGUAAAAAUACUUAAAUAUUAUUAAGGGACGAGAAGACCCUAUAGAGUUUAAUAAAUUAAGUAUUUAGUUGAGUUAAUAUAGAAGAAAUUUUUAAUUAUUAUGUAAUUUAUUUAAUUGGGGUGAUUAGAAGAUAAAUAGAACUCUUCUUUAAAUUUAAUAUUAUAGUUAGUUGUAAUGAUCCAUUAUUAAUGAUUAAAAGAUUAAAUUACCUUAGGGAUAACAGCAUAAUUCUUUUUGAGAGUUCAUAUCGAAAAAAGAGAUUGUGACCUCGAUGUUGGAUUAAGAUUAGUUUUAGGUGCAGAUGUUUAAUAACUAGGUCUGUUCGACCUUUAAAAUCUUACAUGAUCUGAGUUCAAACCGGAGA